UUAGCACUCUGCAGGAAAGAAC
Molecule: microRNA, 22 nt
Filed under: Anolis carolinensis (green anole)
Lineage: Eukaryota; Metazoa; Chordata; Lepidosauria; Squamata; Anolidae
Description: aca-miR-5400
Source: miRBase by way of RNAcentral